AACGAACGCUGGCGGCAGGCCUAAAACAUGCAAGUCGAACGCUGUAGCAAUACAGAGUGGCGCACGGGUGAGUAACACAUGGGAAUGUGCCUUUUGGUACGGAACAACUUUUGGAAACGAAAGCUAAUACCGUAUGGUCCCUUCGGGGUAAAGAUUUAUCGCCAAAAGAGCAGCCCGCGUCUGAUUAGCUAGUUGGUGAGGUAAUGGCUCACCAAGGCGACGAUCAGUAGCUGGUCUGAGAGGACGAUCAGCCACACUGGGACUGAGACACGGCCCAGACUCCUACGGGAGGCAGCAGUUAGGAAUAUUGGACAAUGGGCGCAAGCCUGAUCCAGCCAUGCCGCGUGAGUGAUGAAGGCCUUCGGGUUGUAAAGCUCUUUAGCCGAUGAAUAUAAUGACUGUAGUCGGAAAAUAAGCCCCGGCUAACUUCGUGCCAGCCGCCGCAGUAA
This 449-nucleotide ribosomal RNA is filed under the name uncultured bacterium. RNAcentral's name for it is "partial 16S ribosomal RNA". It matches the Rfam family "Bacterial small subunit ribosomal RNA", at positions 29 to 523 of the family's 1533-position model. The record is from RNAcentral.